Molecule: ribosomal RNA, 535 nt
Filed under: uncultured compost bacterium
Lineage: Bacteria
Description: bacterial SSU rRNA
Rfam family: Bacterial small subunit ribosomal RNA
Source: RNAcentral
GACGGUGGAGCAUGUGGUUUAAUUCGAAGCAACGCGAAGAACCUUACCAGGUCUUGACAUCUUUUGAUCACCUGAGAGAUCAGGUUUCCCCUUCGGGGGCAAAAUGACAGGUGGUGCAUGGUUGUCGUCAGCUCGUGUCGUGAGAUGUUGGGUUAAGUCCCGCAACGAGCGCAACCCUUAUGACUAGUUGCCAGCAUUUAGUUGGGCACUCUAGUAAGACUGCCGGUGACAAACCGGAGGAAGGUGGGGAUGACGUCAAAUCAUCAUGCCCCUUAUGACCUGGGCUACACACGUGCUACAAUGGAUGGUACAACGAGUUGCGAGACCGCGAGGUCAAGCUAAUCUCUUAAAGCCAUUCUCAGUUCGGACUGUAGGCUGCAACUCGCCUACACGAAGUCGGAAUCGCUAGUAAUCGCGGAUCAGCACGCCGCGGUGAAUACGUUCCCGGGCCUUGUACACACCGCCCGUCACACCAUGAGAGUUUGUAACACCCGAAGCCGGUGGCGUAACCCUUUUAGGGAGCGAGCCGUCUAAG